This is a long non-coding RNA of Pangasianodon hypophthalmus (striped catfish), 6718 nucleotides long. RefSeq lists it as uncharacterized. The record is from RefSeq and is a predicted model, not a curated record. Lineage: Eukaryota; Metazoa; Chordata; Actinopteri; Siluriformes; Pangasiidae. The transcript has 2 exons.
UCAAUUAUCUACAGACGUGUAAGAGCUUUUGCGUAAACCGUAACAUUAGUGAACAAAAUAGUGAAGCGCUAGUAAGAGCAGCCCAAUGACGUACACGGUGUUUGAUUCCUGCAAUGAUUAUUGGAAAUUCUGAGAAAUGCACUCCACUAUCCCGUGUAAUUUAGGUUCAAAUGUUUCUAAUUGCGUGAAGACGACGGCGGGUAGCAAGGUACAUACGUGUUCUAUUCAGAGUGUAUGAAUAAGAUUUAGCUAAAAACCGUUAUAUAUCUAAUUUAGAAUCCUACAUUUGUUAUGUACUGGGCUAACCUUUUCGAACCGCCGUAUAGUAUGUUGGAUGUGGUGUGUUCUUUGGGACACGUUUACCACAAUACUGUGGUCAUUUGUGUGUGAAAAUUUUUCACAUGGUAACAUUUCUACGGACACCCUCCUGGUGACGUCCAUUUGUUGUGCUCUGUUUUGCGGGCCAUGCCAUCAAAUGCGUCCCCGUCUCGGGAAUGCGCGCGCCUAUAUCGCUACAUCAGCAGACUGGCAAUCGUGAAUUUGAAACAGAUUUAAAAAAGGAAAUCGGGUUUUUAACUAUCGUGUGUUCUAGCUAUCAUGUUGUAAGCAAUUUUGGUUCGUAAUUAUUGAACAUAAUAUUGUACAUAAAUCGUCUCAUUUGAGCAGGUCAUUGGGCAGCACUCCUGUUUGUUCCUGUCAAGCCCACUUGAAUGUGUUUAAAUGAAACGCUCUUACGUUUGGAGCUUCAGUUUCAUUGCACUGUCACCUAAAGGUGAUUGAUCACACCAUUUUUUAAUUUUAUUAUUUUGCUUUAUUGGAGUGCCAGCAUUAUAGAAGCAAAGUUUGUAUACAUUACUUGCUACAUAUAAGAUGACUGAAUAAGCCUACAUGUUAACAUUGCAGUGAAAGAGAUGAGAACGAAACAGAGAAAUUACUGUAUAGGAGUGUAAUGGCCAAAAGUCUGAGACCACUAGAGAAAAUGCUUCAGCUUGGCAUUCUUUUUCAAUUUAAUGCAAAGAUUUUCAUUACAAAUGAUCUCAGCAAUAACUUGAGUGAAAAAUAAAAUUGUAGAAAUAUGUACUUAUUUUACUUAAUAUAUUUACUUAGAAAUAUUUAAUUUCAGAAUUUCUUGGUAUUUGGUAUAUCCCAUUUUUGCUCCCAUGACAAUGUACACUUGAGCUGACACAGACUCCACAAGUUCGUUUAAAACCUGAUGAUCCAUGUUGAAUCAAAAGCCACAUGCUUCAAUGGAAAGGAUAAGACUCAUGGAAAAUCUGAUCUUUUGUACAAAGGAGUUAACAUGUGAGCGGUGGCAAGGAUAAAGAGGACAGAAAAGAGCGCCUUGAGAAAGAGAGAGCAGUGCUGCUCCGCUCCAUCUCAGGACAUAGGGUGGCGGAUGCACUCUUCCACAUUAUCUCCUGGGUCAGGAUCCCGAAAGAGAUCCUGACCGAUCAGGACACUACAUUUAUGUCACGAACACUAUGCGAACCGUACGAAUUGCGGGGCAUUAAAUCAAUUUGAACCAGUGUCUAAUCGCAGGCUUAAAAACAUGAUUUGAAAGUUCAUUCACAAUGAUGCACGGAAUUGGGAUAAAUGGAUAGAGCCCCUGUUAUUUGCAGUCUGAGAGGGUUUUCCCCUGUUGAAUUAUUAUACGGGCGGAAGCCUCCUGGUGUCUUAAACAUCAUUAAGGAGCACUGGAAGGAGGGACCUUUUAAUAGUAAAAGUGAAAUCCAAUACGUUCAUGACCUGAGAGCAAAACUCCACACCUUAAGUCACAUAACAUAGACGAAUUUUAAGUGAAGUGACUUGUGGCCAAGUAUGGUGACCCAUACUUGGAAUUUGUGCUCUGCAUUUAACCCAUCCAAGUGCACACACAGUAGUGAACGCACACACACACACACACACACACACAACGUGAACACACACACAACGUGAACACACACCCGGGGCAGUGGACAUCCUUUUUUGCUGCAGCACCAGGGGAGCACUUUGGGGGUUCGGUGCCUUGCUCAAGGGUCUCACCUCAGUCGUGGUAUUGAGGGUGGGAGAGAGAGCGCUGGUCAUUCACUCCCCCCACCUACAAUCCCUGCCGGACCUAGGACUCGAACCCACAACCUUCAGGUUCACCUUCGGGUUGCAAGUCCUACUCUCUAUCCAUCAGGCCAUGACUGCCCCUGAAUUUGCGUCAAGAACGGCAAGUCCGGCUGUAUAACGGGUACUCGUCUAAGGGAAUUCACACCGGGAGAUUACUUGCUCAUUUUACUGCCCACAUUGAGCUCUGAAUUACUUGCCAAGUGGAAAGGGCUCUUUGAGAUCACACGGCGAGUCGGGGAUGUUGACUAUGAGGUCAGGUGAAUGGAUAGAGGCGGGGCACGACGGAUUUACCACCUUAACCUCCUCAAACCGUGGAGAAAGGGGGUUCAUAUGGAAUUGCCAACAAUCGUUCCAGAGAAGGAGGGGCUAGGGCCGGAGGUUAAUCCCAAAACAACGGCUCAGUCAGUCCCUUGUGGAGACCACCUCUUGCAAUCCCAACUCGCAGACAUUGCCAAGUGGCAAGCGGAGUUUGCCAAUGUGCUCUUGCCUCUCCCUGGUCGCACUAACCUCAGAGCAUCACACUGAAACACCCCCAGGGGUGAUAGUACUUAGCCACCCCUAUUGUCUGCCAAAACACAAAAAGCAAAUAGUUUGGGAGGAGCUCAAGGCCACGCUAAAUUUGAUGCAUACCCAAUGCCUUGCAUUGACAAACUGCUCAAUUGGUUAGGUGCAGCUUAUUUUUAUUUGACACUGGAUUUGACAAAGGGAUAUUGGCAGAUUCCCUUGACUCCAUUAUCCCAUGAAAAACGACCUUUCCCACUCUGUUCGGUUUACACCAGUUCAUCACACUUCCGUUUGGACUGUUUGGGAACGUUGUCCCGCAACGUUCCAACGACUCAUGGACAGAGUCCUCUGCCUGCACAAUGCAUAUGCCGCCACAUACCUCGAGGACAUUAUCAUUUAUAGUAAUGAUUGGCAGCAGCAUUUAAAACAUCUAAGGGCUGUCCUGAGUUAAUUGAGAUGGUCAGGACUCACAGCAAAUCCAAAAAAGUGUGCAAUUGGGUGGGUGGAAGUACGGUAUCUGGUAGGCCGGACAGCUUCCCAGCCUGAGUCAGGCAAUGGGGGUAUGGGUAAAUGGGGGAGUGCUCAAGCGCCGGUUUCAGAAUGGGGGGUGGAAUCAGAGAAGGUGAGUGUUAAGGAAUGCACACCUGCGAAGAAUUCCAUUUCUGAAUGCAAUGGAAUGCAGUGAGCGGUGGCAAGGAUAAAGAGGAGAGAACUCUGGGGGUGUGUGUGUGUGUUCAUCUUUGGGAGAUUAAAACUGCACCGCUGAAAAGCGAGUCAGAAAAAAGGGAAAAUAAAAGGAAAAGCUGUUUAGUGGGCUCAAACCCAGCCUGCCUCCCAUCUCCACGUUCCCCCACAUAAGGGAUCCUUUACAACCUCAUACCAACUGUUAAGCAUGGUGGUGAAGGCGUGAUGAUUUGGGCCUGUUUUGCAGUCACAGGACCUGGGAAACUUACAUUGAGACAAUGUAGAACUCCACUUUAUAUCAGAAUAUUCUUGAGACAAAUGCGAGACCAACUGUCUAGCAGCUUAAGAAGUCAAAAUUGGGUCAUACAUCAGGACAAUGAUCCCAAGCACACCAGCAAAUUGACAUCUGAAUGGCUAAAGAAGAAAAAAAUCAAGGUGAUGGAAUGGCUAAGUCAAAGUCCAGACCUCAACCCCAUUGAGAUGCUGUGGCGGGAUCUUAAGAGCUGUGCAUAAACAAAUGCCCUCAAACAUCAAUGAACUGACACAAUGUUGUAAAGAAGAGUGGGCCAGAAUUUCUCCAGAACGAUGUGAGAGACUAAUGAAUUCCUACACAAAAUGUUUACUUCAUGUUAUUGUUGCUAAAGGUGGUUCUACAUAUAGGAUGUACUUAUUUUUCCCCCACCUGGUUUCUGAAUGUUGGUUUCCUUUUUGAAAAAAUGGCUACAUAUUGAAAUAUAUUGUGUUAUUUUGUUGUCACCUGAGGUUAUUUAUUUGUUUAUAGAAGUUGAUGAGGACAACACAAUUGUCAUUUAGGUUUGUCAUUGAUAAAUAAAAACAUAGACUUAUAGGAGGGUGUGCUUUCUUUUUCCAAAGACUAUACACUUAGUUAGGUAUUUGGUGGCAUUGUCUUUUAAUUACUUUUAAUUCCUCAUGAUUCCAUCUAUUUUUUGAAGAUCACCAGUUCCUUUUCCAGCAAAACACUCCCAUACUAUGAUUCAGUCACCCCCAUGUUUCACAGCUGGGAUGAUGCAGGACUCUUAAUGGUGGAUAUACAUUUUUGGUACUUGAUGCUUCCAAUUGCUUCACCAGUUCCAGUUGUUGUCUUGGGGUUCAGUUGAGCCUUUCAGACCACUGGGAGUGAAUUUGUACCACUGGGAGUUCAUUUGUGCCUCCUUCCUGAAUGAUGCAGUGUAUCUGUGGUCCCAAGAUUUGUAGUCCAAGUCAACUUGGUGUAUGUAAAAUGUGACACACUGGAAUUCUGAUAUAGUGAAUUAAGCUGAAAUAAACCUGACUCUAAUCUAUUGUUUUAAAAAUUACUUCUGAAGUGAACCGAGUAGAUGCCUCAAUUGACUUGCCAAUUAAAUUUGUUAUUAAUUAAAUUUGGUUGGUUGGUUGGUUGGUUGAUUGAGUAACUAAGGGGACAAUUACUUUUACACACAGUGACAGUUGGUGUUGGAUAACAGUAAAUGAAUUCCUUCAAUAAAUGAAAUGAUCAUUUAAAAAAUGUAUUUUGAGUUUACUCAGGUAGUCUUUAUGCAGAAGUCUCUAGAGUUUACACAGAAAGGUAUGAAAGUCCCCAAAAAUCCAGUGAGUGGCAGUUCUGUGGUUGAAGAUGUGAAAAAUUUUGCUGUAACAAGUUUGCUUGGCCAGAACUCAAAUAACCCAGGUCAGUUUUGUCUUUUCUUGGCAGUUUUAUUCUCUUUCACUGCUUGCCACAAGUGGCUUAGCAGUGAACUUAAACUCAGUUCAGGGCUUUUUAGCCCAUUGAGGUGCUCAUACAUUCCUUACUGAAACACGCAAGAGGGAGAACACAUGGGAGGGAAAAUGAAAAUCCCAGAUCAGUGGUUUGGCAUUUGGCCACAGUAACCAUGCCAUGGUCAAAGUUACUGAGAUCACAUUUUUCUCCAUUUUGAUUUGAUGUGAAUAUUACCUGAAGCUUUUGACCAGGAUCUGCAUGAUUUUAUGCCUUUCAGUGCAUUGAUUGCAUGAAUGCAUUGCAUGAAUUGGUACAGGUGUUCCUACUGAAGUGGCUGUAUGGCCUCGUAUGUGCUUGUUGAAUAUCCAUUUUAAGCCCUUGGGUACUGAUGUGGAGUUUGUCCCUUUGCUGCUGUAACAGCCUUUACUCUUCUGGGAAGGCUUUCCCCUAGAUGGUGCGUGUGCGUGUGUGGUGGCUUGCGAAAACUGAUCUCUGUUCAUGAUAACAUUGGUGGAGAAAUAAUUGCUAAUUAGUUAAAUCAUUAAUAAGCACAAAAAUAGGAAAUUUCUAUUUUAAAUGUCUUUUUAGGUUAUUAGGUCAUAUCUUUGAAACUAUUUUUAAAAAAUAUUUUAAAACUUGUGUGUAAAUGCUCUUCUCUGCUUUGGUAAUGUGGUGGCCUAUGAUUAUCGGAGACAUUUUGACAGCUGCAAACUAAAUUGAAUAGGCUUAUAUCUAUUUCACUAUGGCAUAUAGUUAAUCAAAAACGUGGUCAAAUCAUGACAAUCACUGUGUGAGGAAAUCACCUUAGCUGAAAAGGUUUUGGAUAUCUUUAGGCAGAGUUACUUUUACCACUGUGUUUGUUAAACUGGCUCCUAACGGGAGGAGGGAAGAUGGCAUCAUAGAGGUCUGGCAAUAUCUGUUUUUUUUUUUUUAAAUUGUAUUAUUAUUUAUUUUUUUUAGAUGUUAAAUUGUGCAUUGGUUUAACAGUUGGGCUGAUAUUUGAACGAGAACAGUUUAUAUAUCAUGAUUAAAGGUACUCUUCAAGGGCAGGGAGUUCUAUAAUGAACAUUUACUGUCCUCCAGCUUAUCCAUUCUCACUAAAGUAUUUGUGGAGUUUUCGGGUCAGAUGUAACUCGAGCUCUGGCAAUAUCUGUUUUUUAAAAUUUUUUUAUUUAGUAUUUUUUUUAGAUGUUAAAUUGUGUGUUGGUUUAACAGUUGGGCUGAUAUUUGAACGAGAACAGUUUUAUUAUGAGUCUGGAAGAUUACUUUUCCAAAGCGUCCAGUAGUAAGCCCAGGAGAGCAAAAAAUUUGAUGAAAACACUGACACUGGCAAUUGUACAGGGUGUGCAAUCUGACAAGGAUACUUGGUCCAACGCUUUUGCCAAAUUGGAACUGAAUUUUAUACAAGCAGUGGAAAAGAUGACUGAAGAUAUCGUGAGCGUUAUAGACGCUAAAACUGGCAUAAUUCUGGAUCCAGUUCAAGUCCAAACAACACAGCUACAGGCAAUGGGCUGGCGCAUUAGUGAAGUGGAAGAGAGGAUUACCAUGGUAGAGAUGGCAUCUACAGAGAUGGGGCAGUGGUGGCUCAGUGGUUAAGGUGCUGGGUUCCUGAUUGGAAGGUCAGGGGUUCAAGCCCCAGCGCUGUCAAGCUGCUGCUGUUGGGCCCUUGAGCAAGGCCCUUAACCACAUCUGCUCCAGGGACGCCAUAUCAUAGCAAGCUGGGAUAUGCGAAAGACUGCA